AUAUCGAUGAACGUUUUUGUUCCGUUUUGAUUUCUGAACAUCCAUUGCAGGCUGAGCUGAACAAGGAGAGGUUUAAGCAGUUGAAGGAGAACUUGAUCCCCGUCGUGGAGAAGCAAAGACCACGUCGUGUAAUAAAACGUGUUCAUUCUAUGGAAUGGUAAAUGUUUGGCAGCUGCUCCUAAUCUUUUUUCUUGUCAAUGGUGUGUCCAUUAUUGAAGCUAUGGGAAAUAACUGCAAGAACCAAGCUGAAACUGAAGUGGGGUAUGAGAGAUGAAAUCAAAAACCCAAAA
Hibiscus syriacus is the source of this 290-nucleotide long non-coding RNA. RefSeq lists it as uncharacterized. The transcript has 2 exons. Lineage: Eukaryota; Viridiplantae; Streptophyta; Magnoliopsida; Malvales; Malvaceae. The record is from RefSeq and is a predicted model, not a curated record.